UUGACCAGCUUUGCUUUGGAAGGCCAAGUCUCACGGGGAUGUCCACUCAUUCAUCGUGAUGGCACCAGUGACGACUCUCGAACUUAGGAGCAGAAAAAGAAGGAAUGGCCAUGUGACUUAUGUCCAUGGAAAACCUGUUCUUGAGCGUUUUUCCAGACUGUGAUUGGCUGUGGAUAACAAACUGCGGAAUGCGAAACUGUUGAUAAGGGUGGACUACUGUAACUCUGGACAAUUUCCUCAACUCUGCCCAAUAUCAAAGGAAGGCUCUUGCUCCAAGCAUUGUCAGUGAUGUGCUACAAAGAGGAACAACUAAGCUGACACAGAUAUGAAGGCAGCAAUGACACUGAACUGCCAGAAUAGUGAUCCUCAAAGGUGGACAGGUGUCACACCUGAAUCCCUGGGGGUCAGGACCAAUCAACUUCCCCGCCUACCCCAACCGUGGCCACUCUUUCUAGUCAUAGUUUAUCUUAUGCCUCAGGGGCAGUAAUGGGGUUAAGAAAUGGUAGAAAGUAUGUACCCAAAUUCUCAAUCACAUUUGAUUGUUCACUAGAACUUUUUCUAAGAAGACUAAAUGGUGAGAACGGGGGGAUGGCCCUCCAGGAAAAUUCAGGUAGGUGUCAUAAUAUUUAAUGAAAGAGGCAUUUCCUUUUUUAAUCCUUUGUAGGGUCAGAAAAGAAAAAAAUUCAAGAUAUGCAAAGGAAGCCAGAUCAAAAUCCCCUUGGCCAUGGAUACUGGUGCCCUACAUCAGCACCCUUCAAGAGUGUGGAUGAGGCUGAGUAGGUGGGAACCUGCAUCCCUUGAAAGAAGCAGGCAAGGACAGGGUAGUGACAAGUGCUGGUCACUUGUGAGGGCUGCCUCCCCAUCCAGUUCCCUCUGCAGCCAGGAGCAGGAGUUGUUUCUGGCUCAAGCCAGCCCCCAUGGCCGCCAUUCCCUUAUAUGACCCUGCUUCGCAGGGUAACGUACCAGACAGUUUCACGCUCGUUAUCCUUGCAACGGAUUACUCGGUGAGGAGCAUCAGAGAACUGAAAAGACAGACUGACUUCGACUUGAAUCCUGGCUCUUCCUCUUACUAGUUUCAUGGCCUUGGAUGGAAAAAUGAGUUAUUCCACUGAAGCCAGGAAAAUCCAUGCUGGCACCCUAGCAGUCCAUCAGAAAGUCGUUAUUUCUCCACUGUCAGAGAUCCUGUCCUGAAUAUGCAGCCUAGCACAGCAUGUUAUGGAGGUAAUACCCAUGUCCUUUGCCCAAGGCGCUUGCUCUUACUUGUCCUCGUGGGCACAGUGGAAUUCUAAAUCAUCGAUGCAUACUGCCUGUUUUGUUAGGUCCCUUUAAGUUCAUAUUCAGCUGACCUGGCAAGAGAUAUGCAGUAAACUUUGCUCAAAAACGUUAGGACCGGAGAUAUAGCAAACUUCAGCAAAGAUGGAAAGAACCAUCCUGCCAACAUACCGAUUUUAAGAACAGCACUCUCUCACCAAAUUCAAUUAUCUUGUUACUCAAAAAUAUUUUUUACAUGUGAUUUCAUUGUGUCCCUUUGAGAACAGGGAGAACAAGUAGCUUAUCUAGGAUGGCAUUGGUCCAGGCCUCUUAUUCACAAAAUAUGUCAAAUUUAGACUUUCACCUUAACUUCAAACGAGGUUAUGCAUAUGGUCACUGAGAUUCAGGAUAAAUGUGAAAAGGACUUUUUUCUCAUGCAACUAUACAAUUACCCCAUUAUAAAACUGCACAGCCUGAAUUAAUUUUUACAAGUCAUCAC
Molecule: long non-coding RNA, 1750 nt
Filed under: Homo sapiens (human)
Lineage: Eukaryota; Metazoa; Chordata; Mammalia; Primates; Hominidae
Description: HSALNT0074012
Source: RNAcentral